Long non-coding RNA from Vollenhovia emeryi, 283 nucleotides. RefSeq lists it as uncharacterized. Lineage: Eukaryota; Metazoa; Arthropoda; Insecta; Hymenoptera; Formicidae. The record is from RefSeq and is a predicted model, not a curated record. The transcript has 3 exons.
ACAAAUAAAUCGUAACCACAUUUCCCCUGUUUCUCUCAUUUCAGAUAUUAGCAUUAGGAUAACGCGCUAGACGAUUAUCAAGGAGAGGGAAAAUGUAUGGUACAUAGAUUUUUACGUUGUUUUUUUGCAGGAACGCCUUUCAACCGUUAGGUCAUAUCAGCGGGAUAUUUCUAAAAAUUCCUUGAACUUCACGCUUAGGCUGAUGGCAGACAACUAUCCGUUAGAAAUCAAAAUUCUCACCCUUCGGUAUACUCCGCUUGAAGGAGUCCCAGAUACGCCUCCC